AUGGAGCAGGGACCAGCGUCUGGGCUCGGAGGAUCUGGCUUUUCCGGGUGGUGUCAUGUGAGUCCUGAGCUGCAUCCUCCGGGGAGUGGCUGCUCCCUGCCCUGGCCCUGGGCUUCUUGGCUGCCCAGCACUGGUUCCAGGAGAGGCUGGGUUGAGUGCAGAGCCCUCCGCCUGCCUGUGAGUCCCUGCUCUGCCCUCUGCUCCCAGUGUGCUACCUGCCAUAAAUGCCCGAAGCUGGGAGCAAAGUGCAGCGCCCGGGGCCCCGGGGCAGGGCCUGGCUCCUGUCUGCCUGCCAGCGCCCGAGGGACAGCAGCCUGGAGGAGCUGGGGAGCAUCCUGCUUCAGUCCUGCCUGCAAAGAGCUGGGUGGGCAGAGAGACAGACGUGUUCAAAGAAACAGCUCCUACAACACGGAAACCCUUAGGCACAGACACGCCCAGACACACACGCACACCCACACACUCCCAGCUGCAGAGCCUGGCAGGCAUGGCCGGUUCACGCCAGAGAGCGUGGCUUGCGCUUCACACCCAGGCAGUCCCGGCGCCCCUUCCCUGCCCCAGGGCCCCUGCGUGGCCCCCGCCUCUGCCCUUGGAGGCCCGGGGUUGCAGAGGCAGCUCUCAGUUUGCUGGCUGACUGUUGAGCUGGGUCCCGGGUACUGGGCCCCACCCUGCCCUACAAACCCAGGCCUGAUUCAGAGCAAACACCCAGUGCAGACAGCCCACGGGACGGGGCCCUGGGGUGGGCCCCAGGCCUGCUCAGGGGCCUCUGGGGAUGUCCAGACCUCUGGUUCACAGCAGGGCCAGACCUCGGCUACCUGCCGCGUCCCCUGUGGGCUGGAUGGGGCGGGCUGGGCUGUGGCCACAGCAGGGACUGGGCAGGAGGCACAGUCUCUGGAGAGACGCCCACCCAGUCCCCGCUCAUCUUUCAGGGACCCGGGCUGGCCUCGGGCAGAGCAGAGCUGGGGUCAGACCAGCGGCCGCAGCACUCACUCUGUGCCAGGCUCCUCUCUCCGCACCUGA
Molecule: long non-coding RNA, 1017 nt
Filed under: Bos grunniens (domestic yak)
Lineage: Eukaryota; Metazoa; Chordata; Mammalia; Artiodactyla; Bovidae
Description: lncRNA (ENSBGRG00000026153.1)
Source: RNAcentral